AACAUUACUCAAGUCAGGAGGGUUAAUUAUUGAGCCGUGACUCUUCAUAGAUACCCAGCUGGGUUCUGGAGGUUCUACUCCUUUACUCAAGUCAGGAGGGUUAAUUAUUGAGCCGUGACUCUUGAUAGAUACCCAGCUGGGUUCUGCUCCAUUACUCAAGUCAGGAGGGUUAAUUAUCGAGCCGUGACUCUUCAUAGAUACACAGCUGGGUUCUG
Molecule: long non-coding RNA, 215 nt
Organism: Astyanax mexicanus (Mexican tetra)
Lineage: Eukaryota; Metazoa; Chordata; Actinopteri; Characiformes; Acestrorhamphidae
Exons: 3
Source: RefSeq, a predicted model, not a curated record